UGGAUUAGUGGCGAACGGGUGAGUAACACGUGGGCAAUCUGCCCUGUACUUUGGGAUAAGCCUGGGAAACUGGGUCUAAUACCGGAUAUGACUUCCGCGGGCAUCCGUGGUGGUGGAAAGCUCCGGCGGUACAGGAUGAGCCCGCGGCCUAUCAGCUUGUUGGUGGGGUAAUGGCCUACCAAGGCGACGACGGGUAGCCGGCCUGAGAGGGUGACCGGCCACACUGGGACUGAGACACGGCCCAGACUCCUACGGGAGGCAGCAGUGGGGAAUAUUGCACAAUGGGCGCAAGCCUGAUGCAGCGACGCCGCGUGAGGGAUGACGGCCUUCGGGUUGUAAACCUCUUUCGCCAGGGACGAAGCGCAAGUGACGGUACCUGGAUAAGAAGCACCGGCUAACUACGUGCCAGCAGCCGCGGUAAUACGUAGGGUGCGAGCGUUGUCCGGAAUUAUUGGGCGUAAAGAGCUCGUAGGCGGUUUGUCGCGUCGUUCGUGAAAACUCCACGCUUAACGUGGAGCGUGCGGGCGAUACGGGCAGACUUGAGUUCGGUAGGGGAGACUGGAAUUCCUGGUGUAGCGGUGAAAUGCGCAGAUAUCAGGAGGAACACCGGUGGCGAAGGCGGGUCUCUGGGCCGAUACUGACGCUGAGGAGCGAAAGCGUGGGGAGCGAACAGGAUUAGAUACCCUGGUAGUCCACGCUGUAAACGUUGGGCGCUAGGUGUGGGCGACAUCCACGUUGUCCGUGCCGUAGCU
This 752-nucleotide ribosomal RNA is filed under the name Amycolatopsis sp. RNAcentral describes it as "bacterial SSU rRNA". It matches the Rfam family "Bacterial small subunit ribosomal RNA", at positions 88 to 853 of the family's 1533-position model. The record is from RNAcentral. Lineage: Bacteria; Bacillati; Actinomycetota; Actinomycetes; Pseudonocardiales; Pseudonocardiaceae.